Molecule: ribosomal RNA, 250 nt
Filed under: uncultured bacterium
Lineage: Bacteria
Description: partial 16S ribosomal RNA
Rfam family: Bacterial small subunit ribosomal RNA
Source: RNAcentral
GACAGAGGUGGCAAGCGUUGUUCGGAUUCAUUGGGUGUAAAGGGCAGGUAGGUGGUCAAAUAAGUCUGGUGUGAAAUCCCAGGGCUCAACCCUGGAACUGCAUUGGAAACUGUUUGACUUGAGUACCGGAGAGGUGAGGGGAAUUCUCGGUGUAAGGGUGAAAUCUGUAGAUAUCGAGAGGAACACCAGUGGCGAAGGCGCCUCACUGGCCGGUUACUGACACUGAGCUGCGAAAGCAAGGGGAGCAAAC